UGUGUCUGUGUGUGUGUGUGUGUGUGUUGCAGGUUUCCAGCGUCUUCUGCAGAGCGUCUGCGGGUGCAUCAGAGCGCCGUGAACUACCUUGGCCUCGCCUGCUACACUAAAGGAGCACUGAGCAGCAUGUUCUAUCUGGCACACGAGUUCCAUGACGACCUGGUCGGAGGAAUCCUGACCAACACCAACUGUGGAGGAGAGAACUGUAACCGUGGCGCGGCGCUCGGCGCGCUGCUGCUCGGCGCCAGC
This is a long non-coding RNA of Perca flavescens (yellow perch), 249 nucleotides long. RefSeq lists it as uncharacterized. The transcript has 3 exons. Lineage: Eukaryota; Metazoa; Chordata; Actinopteri; Perciformes; Percidae. The record is from RefSeq and is a predicted model, not a curated record.